Myotis davidii is the source of this 376-nucleotide long non-coding RNA. RefSeq lists it as uncharacterized. Lineage: Eukaryota; Metazoa; Chordata; Mammalia; Chiroptera; Vespertilionidae. The transcript has 5 exons. The record is from RefSeq and is a predicted model, not a curated record.
AUGUCCAUCAUUUUUCCUAGGUGUCUUUGUAAACGCAAAAUUGGAUAGAAAACAUAUGCUGAUGUUCCAACUACUAAUGUAAAGAGGGCUAAACGUUUGGCUGAUUCUCUUGCAUCUCUACAGCUAAUAUUUAAAAUAUUUCAAAGAAACGUGAUUUGGGAUCUGCUGACGCUCCCCUGGCUGGGCCCUGUGACUGGGAAUCGCUUCUCAAUGGCACUCAGUUCUGAAUCAUCCUCGGAAAGUGGCUUUUCAGGAAAUGGAUCAGAGGGAAAUGAUGACAGUGACAGAGUUACCAAUGCUCUUCCAUCUUCUGUGAGUGAUCUCACAAAAAGUUUGGAGAACGUGGAAAUGUGAGUAUCAUUGUAAUAUGCAAAUU